CAUUGGAUGAGCCCAUGUGGGAUUAGCUAGUUGGUGGGGUAAAGGCCUACCAAGGCGACGAUCUCUAGCUGGUCUGAGAGGAUGACCAGCCACACUGGGACUGAGACACGGCCCAGACUCCUACGGGAGGCAGCAGUGGGGAAUAUUGCACAAUGGGGGGAACCCUGAUGCAGCCAUGCCGCGUGUAUGAAGAAGGCCUUCGGGUUGUAAAGUACUAUCGGUAAUGAGGAAGUUGUUGUGGUGAUAAGCUGCAGCAAUUGACGUUAGUUACAGAAGAAGCACCGGCUAACUCCGUGCCAGCAGCCGCGGUAAUACGGAGGGUGCGAGCGUUAAUCGGAAUGACUGGGCGUAAAGGGCAUGCAGGCGGGUAAUUAAGUCGUAUGUGAAAUCCCCGGGCUCAACCUGGGAAUGGCAUAUGAAACUGGUUAUCUAGAGUAUUGUAGAGGGGGGUAGAAUUCCACGUGUAGCGGUGAAAUGCGUAGAGAUGUGGAGGAAUACCGGUGGCGAAGGCGGCCCCCUGGACAAAUACUGACGCUCAAAUGCGAAAGCGUGGGGAGCCUACAGGAUUAGAUACCCUGGUAGUCCA
Molecule: ribosomal RNA, 586 nt
Filed under: uncultured Gilliamella sp.
Lineage: Bacteria; Pseudomonadati; Pseudomonadota; Gammaproteobacteria; Orbales; Orbaceae
Description: bacterial SSU rRNA
Rfam family: Bacterial small subunit ribosomal RNA
Source: RNAcentral